AGUAGUUCUUCUUCUCAUCAUCGACUUUCCAAUGGGGAGCCAUGUAGGGACAACUAGUUAUCUCGCCAGUUGGUGCAUCCAUCCACGGAGGUAAACUUAAUGUUGCAAGUGACAUCAGGCUCACUCAGAGAUCGGCAGGUUUAAUUCCCACCCCCAGGAGUUAUGUUCAGAUUCUCAUUGGCACUUCAAAGAAAGAGAAUGUACAAAGUACCGUGUGGAAAACAGUAGGAUCUACUGCAGAGUGGCACUUCUGAAAGGGUCCAUUGCUGUCCGUCAGCAGGCCGCACCAGUGCGAAGCAUAUUUUUCUGUACAAGACAAAGGGCAAUGUGGUUUUAUACAUAUUACUGCAGAGAUGGGCAAUGUGUUUCAGCCCAAGGAACACAUUCCCUUCUGUGCAGCCUCUCAGGGACCUUACGCCAGUGGUGGGCAGGGCAGAGCUACAAACUUCACCUUUGUACAAUAGUCUAGUUCCUUCAGAACUAUAUCCACCACCCAAGCAUGUAAGAAUCACUAUCAGAGUUUGAGGACCUAUUCCAGCCAGUCAAUGAGAGAAAAUACUGCAUUAGAACUUGCUCUCAUUGUUAACUGUAUCUUUCUGCCUUCCUUCUGCAUCAUAUAGUUGUGCUUGCUUGCUCAAGUCACCUAUAAUCAUCUUUUGUCUGUCAUGCCAUUUUUCUCUGCUGUCUUAAUACACCAUGAUCUGGAUAAUGUGGAAUAGUCUGCAAUGAUUGUUCCAGCUGUACAAAGCCUUUUUCUCUUAUGGGGAGCCAUUGUCGUCUGAGAGCCAGUGUGGCAUAGAGCAACAAACUAUGACUUAGAGAGUGUGUGUUGGAUUCACCCACCCAGCUUUUAAGAUCCCUAGGUGUCCAAAAACCAGUUACAUUCU
Non-coding RNA from Podarcis muralis (Common wall lizard), 887 nucleotides. Lineage: Eukaryota; Metazoa; Chordata; Lepidosauria; Squamata; Lacertidae. The record is from RefSeq and is a predicted model, not a curated record.